UGGCCCCCGAGCUGCAGCCGGCAUCGCGGCGGGACCCGGAGCCCGGAGUUCGGGCGGGUAACCCGAGCGCUCCAAGCUCUUGAAGCCGCGAGGGUGGCUUAGCUUCGGUGUUUUGGCUGAGAACACCCUUAAAGCUUAAAAUAAAACCUGCCUGUGGGGUGCGGGGGAGGAGAGAGGAGGACGCGAAUCACACCCGCUGCUGCCCCCCAGCUCGCCCCGUCUGUACAAUGGGAUGCUCGGGACUCGGACGGGAGGAUCCAGUGACUGCGAGCCCCGUAUUCGCCCGAUCCCAGCCUCACACCCCCAGCCAGCCCCCAGAGACCCUCCCACACUUACGAAGGAAAUGCAUGCGGCCAGGAGGAGGAUCCUCACCAGGAGCAGGGAGCUCUACCCAGGAAAAAGAAGAAAAGGACAGAUUCAUUUGGGGUUCAGCCUCAUGCCCCCCACACCCCCCAAGACUUUGUGGCUAAGGUAAGAGAAUCAGGCCACCUUGAGGUUCAUCAAGGUCAUCCCAUUAAAACCUCCCAAAACUCUGGA
Molecule: non-coding RNA, 537 nt
Filed under: Pongo abelii (Sumatran orangutan)
Lineage: Eukaryota; Metazoa; Chordata; Mammalia; Primates; Hominidae
Source: RNAcentral